Molecule: ribosomal RNA, 2401 nt
Filed under: Enterobacter hormaechei
Lineage: Bacteria; Pseudomonadati; Pseudomonadota; Gammaproteobacteria; Enterobacterales; Enterobacteriaceae
Description: partial 23S ribosomal RNA
Rfam family: Bacterial large subunit ribosomal RNA
Source: RNAcentral
AGUUAAGUGACUAAGCGUACAAGGUGGAUGCCUUGGCAAUCAGAGGCGAAGAAGGACGUGCUAAUCUGCGAAAAGCUUGGAUGAGUCGAUAAGAGGCGUUUAAUCCAAGAUGUCCGAAUGGGGAAACCCAGUAGAUGAAGAAUCUACUAUCACUUACUGAAUCCAUAGGUAAGUGAGGCAAACCGGGAGAACUGAAACAUCUAAGUACCCCGAGGAAAAGAAAUCAACCGAGAUUUCGUUAGUAGCGGCGAGCGAACGCGAAGGAGCCUGUUAGUGAUAAUGACAGAGACAGAGGAACAAGCUGGGAAGCUUGGCGAUACAGGGUGAUAGCCCCGUACUCGAAGUCCAAGUCAUGGUACUAAGCUAACGACAAGUAGGGCGGGACACGUGAUAUCCUGUUUGAAGAUGGGGGGACCAUCCUCCAAGGCUAAAUACUCCUGAUUGACCGAUAGUGAACCAGUACUGUGAAGGAAAGGCGAAAAGAACCCCGGUGAGGGGAGUGAAAUAGAACCUGAAACCUUGUACGUACAAGCAGUGGGAGCCUGAAAGGGUGACUGCGUACCUUUUGUAUAAUGGGUCAGCGACUUAUAUUUUGUAGCGAGGUUAACCGAAUAGGGGAGCCGAAGGGAAACCGAGUCUUAACUGCUGGAGGACCGAACCGACUAAUGUUGAAAAAUUAGCGGAUGACUUGUGGCUGGGGGUGAAAGGCCAAUCAAACCGGGAGAUAGCUGGUUCUCCCCGAAAUCUAUUUAGGUAGAGCCUUGAGCGGACACCUUCGGGGGUAGAGCACUGUUUCGGCUAGGGGUCCAUCCCGGAUUACCAACCCGAUGCAAACUACGAAUACCGAAGAGUGAUACUCAGGAGACACACGGCGGGUGCUAACGUCCGUCGUGGAGAGGGAAACAACCCAGACCGCCAGCUAAGGUCCCAAAGUCUAUAUUAAGUGGGAAACGAAGUGGGAAGGCUUAGACAGCUAGGAUGUUGGCUUAGAAGCAGCCAUCAUUUAAAGAAAGCGUAAUAGCUCACUAGUCGAGUCGGCCUGCGCGGAAGAUGUAACGGGGCUCAAAUAUAGCACCGAAGCUGCGGCAUCAGACAAAAGUCUGUUGGGUAGGGGAGCGUUCUGUAAGCGGAUGAAGGUGUGUUGAGAAGCAUGCUGGACGUAUCAGAAGUGCGAAUGCUGACAUAAGUAACGAUAAAACGGGUGAAAAACCCGUUCGCCGGAAGACCAAGGGUUCCUGUCCAACGUUAAUCGGGGCAGGGUGAGUCGGCCCCUAAGGCGAGGCUGAAAAGCGUAGUCGAUGGGAAACGGGUUAAUAUUCCCGUACUUGGUAAAGCUGCGAUGUGGGGACGGAGCAGGUUAGGUUAGCGUGCUGUUGGAUAUGCACGUUUAAGUUGGUAGGUGGGGAGUUUAGGCAAAUCCGGACUUCCUUAACACUGAGAGAUGAUGACGAGGCUCUACGGAGCUGAAGUAACUGAUACCACACUUCCAGGAAAAGCCACUAAGCGAAAGGCUUUACUAAACCGUACUGAAAACCGACACAGGUGGUCAGGUAGAGAAUACUCAGGCGCUUGAGAGAACUCGGGUGAAGGAACUAGGCAAAAUAGCACCGUAACUUCGGGAGAAGGUGCGCCGGCGUAGAUUGUAGUCCCUCGCGGGCGAAGGUUGAACCGGUCGAAGAUACCAGCUGGCUGCAACUGUUUAUUAAAAACACAGCACUCUGCAAACACGAAAGUGGACGUAUAGGGUGUGAUGCCUGCCCGGUGCUGGAAGGUUAAUUGAUGGUGUAAUCGAAAGAGAAGCUCCUGAUCGAAGCCCCAGUAAACGGCGGCCGUAACUAUAACGGUCCUAAGGUAGCGAAAUUCCUUGUCGGGUAAGUUCCGACCUGCACGAAUGGCAUAAUGAUGGCCAGGCUGUCUCCACCCGAGACUCAGUGAAAUUGAAAUCGCCGUGAAGAUGCGGUGUACCCGCGGCUAGACGGAAAGACCCCGUGAACCUUUACUAUAGCUUGACACUGAACAUUGAAUUUUGAUGUGUAGGAUAGGUGGGAGACUUUGAAGUAGUCACGCCAGUGAUUAUGGAGUCGUCCUUGAAAUACCACCCUUUAACGUUUGAUGUUCUAACGAAGAUUACGAAACGUGGUCUCGGACAGUGUCUGGUGGGUAGUUUGACUGGGGCGGUCUCCUCCCAAAGAGUAACGGAGGAGCACGAAGGUUUGCUAAUGACGGUCGGACAUCGUCAGGUUAGUGCAAUGGUAUAAGCAAGCUUAACUGCGAGACAGACAAGUCGAGCAGGUACGAAAGUAGGUCAUAGUGAUCCGGUGGUUCUGAAUGGAAGGGCCAUCGCUCAACGGAUAAAAGGUACUCCGGGGAUAACAGGCUGAUACCGCCCAAGAGUUCAUAU